GUUGUCUUUGCUUUCAGACUCAAUAUGAGACCAGUGAUGGGAAGAGAAUUCCCAUUCCAUCUCUGCCAGCCAGCCCUGAGGUGAUGCUGGCAGCAAAUGGCACAACUGAAACCAUUGGGGAGAAUACGUUUACCACUAUCCUCUCCCGCAUAGUCUUUGAGAAACCCAAGACCAUCCCUUGCACCCCUGAAACAUUCCCAGAGACUCGUGCUCUUGAGGCGGCCCUCAACGAUACAGUUGUGUCUAAGUGCCCGGCGUGCUCAUCGUCCCCUUUCUCGCUCGUCGUCAUUGUUGAAGUGGUCAYGCCUUUGAAGGUCCAUCUGGAUGUGAACUUGUGCACCAUGAAUAUUUCUCUUAACCUGGAGAUAAUGAGUAAAAAAGGAAAUGAGAGCUUGCUGGUUCUUGCUCUCCUGGAGGCUAAACUCGAUUUGGCAGCCACUCUUCACGUCACYGAAGGGGAAGUGCAGUUCAGCGUGGCCCUUGACAGCCUGGCUCUCUCGCUGGUUUCCUCAGUCAACGGCACCACGGAUGUUAAACUACUUCAGAAACCCUUGAGAGCUUUUGUUCAAGAAGUUAUAAUAAAUGAAAUCAAUUCGUAUCUCAAAAUUGGAAAAAUCCCAAUACUUAGGAUCCCAGGACUGACAUACACAGCUGUCGACUGCCGCGCUGCACAGCGCUGUAUUGUGUGCCAUAACUACCACAAGAAAAAGAAAAACUGACGUACAGGAUGAGUUGCUUGCUGUCGCGUCUCUUACACUGAACAGCAAAGACAGAGACCGUCAUGAGUGAAGAUAUUUUAAUUCAUAUAAUUCUUUAUUCUAAAACGUUGAUUGCUUUUUUUUUAAUGGGGGAAAAACUCCUACAUCUGCUUUAGAAUUACAGUUAAGGAAGUACAGAGGAUCCAAACAGUCUCUUUGUUAAAAAUACAUUCUACUAGAAGUGCUGUUUUCCGAAAUCAAUGAUGUGUUUGGUUAUAUGCUUCAAGGGAAAGUUUGGGACAUUGGUUACUGUUCUUGCUUUCUUUUGGCUGCUCUAAAUAAAUGGCUGUACUUUGCCA
RNAcentral lists this long non-coding RNA (1057 nucleotides) under Dromaius novaehollandiae (emu). RNAcentral describes it as "lncRNA (ENSDNVG00000004676.1)". The record is from RNAcentral. Lineage: Eukaryota; Metazoa; Chordata; Aves; Casuariiformes; Dromaiidae.